CCGAAAGACUAAGGUUUUAGAAGGAAGGUUCGUCCGCUUCUAGUUAGCCGGGAGCUAAGGCGAGGCCGAAAGGCGUAGUCGAUGCACAUACGGUUGAGAUUCCGUAGCCACCUUAAAUUUAAACUAAGGGACACAUUGAAAGGGAAUAACCCAGGCGUUGGUUGACCUGGGCGUAAGGGAACGAAAAUAAGUAGUGAAGUAUUCUUGGACAGUGGCGAGAAAAGCUUAGUGUAUAUUAUUAGGGUGCCCGUACUGCAAACCGACACAGGUAGUCAGGAAGAGAAUUCUAAGGCCAUCGGGAGAAGCGUUGUUAAGGAACUCGGCAAAUUGACCCCGUAACUUCGGAAUAAGGGGUGCUCACGAGAGUGAGCCGCAGUGAAUAGGUCCAGGCAACUGUUUAUCAAAAACACAGCUCUCUGCUAAAUCGUAAGAUGACGUAUAGGGGGUGACACCUGCCCGGUGCUGGAAGGUUAAGAGGAGGAGUGCAAGCCCCGAAUCGAAGCCCCAGUAAACGGCGGCCGUAACUAUAACGGUCCUAAGGUAGCGAAAUUCCUUGUCGGGUAAGUUCCGACCCGCACGAAUGGUGUAAUGAUCUGGACACUGUCUCAACAACGCACCCGGCGAAAUUGUAGUACCGGUGAAGAUGCCGGUUACCCGCGGCAAGACGGAAAGACCCCAUGGAGCUUUACUGUAACUUAAUAUUGGGUCUCGGUACUUUAUGUACAGGAUAGGCGGGAGACUUGGAAACUAGCACGCCAGUGUUAGCGGAGUCAUCCUUGGGAUACCGCUCUUAAGGUAUUGAGAUUCUAACCUGCAGCCUUGAAUCAGGUUGGGGGACAUUGUUAGGUGGGCAGUUUGACUGGGGCGGUCGCCUCCAAAAGAGUAACGGAGGCGUUCAAAGGUUCGCUCAGCAUGGACGGAAACCAUGCUUUAGAGUAUAAACGCAUAAGCCAGCCUAACUGCGAGACUGACGGGUCGAGCAGUAACGAAAGUUG
Molecule: ribosomal RNA, 995 nt
Filed under: human gut metagenome
Description: bacterial LSU rRNA
Rfam family: Bacterial large subunit ribosomal RNA
Source: RNAcentral